CCUACGGGUGGCAGCAGUGGGGAAUAUUGCGCCAUGGGCGAAAGCCUGACGCAGCGACGCCGCGUGAGGGAUGAAGGUCUUCGGAUCGUAAACCUCUGUCAGCAGGGAAGAACGGUCACUGUGCUAAUCAGCAGUGAAUUGACGGUACCUGCACAGGAAGCACCGGCUAACUCCGUGCCAGCAGCCGCGGUAAUACGGAGGGUGCGGGCGUUAAUCGGAAUUCCUGGGCGUAAAGCGCUCGUAGGCGGUAUGUCAAGUCAAGUGUGAAAUCCCCGCGCUCAACGUGGGAACUGCCUUGGAAACUGGCAAACUGGAGUGUGGGAGAGGAUGGUGGAAUUCCAGGUGUAGGGGUGAAAUGCGUAGAUAUCUGGAGGAACAUCAGUGGCGAAGGCGACUAUCUGGCACAUAACUGACGCUGAGGAGCGAAAGCGUGGGUAGCAAACAGGAUUAGAUACCCCUGUAGUC
This 465-nucleotide ribosomal RNA is filed under the name uncultured bacterium. RNAcentral's name for it is "partial 16S ribosomal RNA". It matches the Rfam family "Bacterial small subunit ribosomal RNA", at positions 338 to 795 of the family's 1533-position model. The record is from RNAcentral.